This 74-nucleotide transfer RNA is filed under the name Bacillota bacterium. RNAcentral's name for it is "tRNA-Ile". It matches the Rfam family "tRNA". Rfam says of the family: Transfer RNA (tRNA) molecules are approximately 80 nucleotides in length. Their secondary structure includes four short double-helical elements and three loops (D, anti-codon, and T loops). Further hydrogen bonds mediate the characteristic L-shaped molecular structure. tRNAs have two regions of fundamental functional importance: the anti-codon, which is responsible for specific mRNA codon recognition, and the 3' end, to which the tRNAs corresponding amino acid is attached (by aminoacyl-tRNA synthetases). tRNAs cope with the degeneracy of the genetic code in two manners: having more than one tRNA (with a specific anti-codon) for a particular amino acid; and 'wobble' base-pairing, i.e. permitting non-standard base-pairing at the 3rd anti-codon position. RNAcentral also lists the same sequence under 5 other names. The record is from RNAcentral. Lineage: Bacteria; Bacillati; Bacillota.
GGAUUCUUAGCUCAGUUGGUUAGAGCAUCCGGCUCAUAACCGGACGGUUCUCGGUUCGAGUCCGAGGGGAUCCA